Molecule: long non-coding RNA, 266 nt
Filed under: Lathyrus oleraceus (garden pea)
Lineage: Eukaryota; Viridiplantae; Streptophyta; Magnoliopsida; Fabales; Fabaceae
Description: Pisum sativum (pea) long non-coding RNA (PSAT_LNC013014)
Source: RNAcentral
CAACAUCGAGGAACUAGGAUGAAUGAUCAUCAGAAGAGGAAAUACCAGGAUUGGAGGUGUCAUCACUGUGGUAGGCUUGGACAUAUAAAAGCCUUCUGCUACUGGAUUCAUGGUUUCCCUAACAGAGCCUCACAUGUCAGACCUAAGCAUAAAACACGUAAGCGAUGUGUUCCCAUUAAGAAGCAACAAUGGUAUGCUAGGAUAGCACACACUGCCCUAAGGGCUUCUUCCAGAGAAGACUGGUACUUUGACAGUGGAUGCUCAAG